AGAGUUUGAUCCUGGCUCAGGAUGAACGCUGGCGGCGUGCCUAAUACAUGCAAGUCGAACGCACUGUGGUUCAACUGAUUUGAAGAGCUUGCUCUGAUAUGACGAUGAACAUUGCAGUGAGUGGCGAACGGGUGAGUAACACGUGGGAAACCUACCUCUUAGCGGGGGAUAACAUCUGGAAACAGAUGCUAAUACCGCAUAACACUAGCAACCGCAUGGUUGCUACUUGAAAGAUGGUUCUGCUAUCACUAAGAGAUGGUCCCGCGGCGCAUUAGUUAGUUGGUGAGGUAAUGGCUCACCAAGACGAUGAUGCGUAGCCGAGUUGAGAGACUGAUCGGCCACAAUGGGACUGAGACACGGCCCAUACUCCUACGGGAGGCAGCAGUAGGGAAUCUUCCACAAUGGACGAAAGUCUGAUGGAGCAACGCCGCGUGUGUGAUGAAGGGUUUCGGCUCGUAAAACACUGUUGUAAGAGAAGAAUAGCAUCAAGAGUAACUGCUUGGUGUGUGACGGUAUCUUACCAGAAAGGAACGGCUAAAUACGUGCCAGCAGCCGCGGUAAUACGUAUGUUCCAAGCGUUAUCCGGAUUUAUUGGGCGUAAAGCGAGCGCAGACGGUUUUUUAAGUCCGAAGUGAAAGCCCACAGCUUAACUGUGGAAGUGCUUUGGAAACUGGAUGACUUGAGUGCAGUAGAGGAGAGUGGAAUUCCAUGUGUAGCGGUGAAAUGCGUAGAUAUAUGGGAGGAACACAGUGGCGAAGCGGCUCUCUGGGACUGUAACUGACGUGAGGCUCGAAAGUGGUGGGGUAGCAAACAGGAUAGAUACCC
RNAcentral lists this ribosomal RNA (825 nucleotides) under uncultured bacterium. RNAcentral's name for it is "bacterial SSU rRNA". It matches the Rfam family "Bacterial small subunit ribosomal RNA", at positions 8 to 787 of the family's 1533-position model. The record is from RNAcentral.